Molecule: long non-coding RNA, 1210 nt
Filed under: Heterocephalus glaber (naked mole-rat)
Lineage: Eukaryota; Metazoa; Chordata; Mammalia; Rodentia; Bathyergidae
Description: lncRNA (ENSHGLG00100048351.1)
Source: RNAcentral
GUCUAAGUGACUAAUGGGUGGAUUGUGUACACAAUGUGGAUAGUUUGGAUAAAGGAGUGACACACAUCUUGGGCAAGAUGGAGUAGCUUCCUGAUGAGCAGUGGAGAAAUCAGUGGUAGCCUACAUCACACUACAAUCUCUUUACCAAUAACCUCACCCUGUGUUGUCAUGAAGAUGUCUCAUCAGCUCAUAAUAUCACAAGAAGAUAUGCCUGAUUGGGGCAAGUGAAUCUCCAGGCAACUGACCCUCAUGCUGGGGAAGAGGAGACCACAGUGCCAGACAGUUGCAUGCAUGCAGCUUGCACCAUUGGAUCUGCUGGAUCAUCUACACAAUGGGCUGGACCUAUUGCAGAGCUUUCUCCUUUUCUGAGCCCUACACAAAACUAAAGACUGUUCCAGUCAUUCAGCUUCUAGUGUGGACUCUUCGACUUUGCAGCAAACACCCUUCAGCUUCUGACCUGGACUCACAUGAACUCACUGAGCUCCAGAACUUCAACCUUUGACUGGACAUUUUGGCUCUCCAGCAGGCAGAUGGCCUUUUGCAUUAUUUCACCUCUGAUUCUGCAGACUGACUACCACUUGCCUGCUCUGCUCCCUCUCUGUCUGAGCUAUCCUGCCCAAUCUUCCCCCAGCAGUGGAAAGGGCAGUGAGUAGAUUACGGGUGUGUUUUACAAGAUUAAACUAUCAAAGAGGAAUUUCUAUGCACCAAAUGCUGAAAGGAAGUUUGAAACCAAUCAUUUGGAGAACCUCAUAUAUAAAUAUUAGAAAAAUGGGAUAUAAGGAUCAAAAGGGAUCAAAGGAAUAAAUAGAAUUGACACUUUCAUUUGGGCUGGCUUCAUUUUAAGUGCUUAUCAGCUUUAAGCCACUGUACUGGACAUCCCAAGUCUUGAAGGAUAUUGUUCUAAAAGUGUGUACCUUGAACAACAACUGAAGAGUGACACUUCUGGAAACUGGUAAUCAAAAUUAGAUGAAGGACCUGUAAUGCUUAGAAAGGACCUGAGUAUUAUACUUGAAAGUGGAAAAGGCUGUGACAUGAAGAAAGGAGUCUAUCCAACUUCAUUACCAGGGGGGCAGAUGCAGGAUUAGCAUAAAGUGGAACUUUCUAGUAAUUACAGAUGUAAAACAAUGUGGUUAACUUUAAUUCGAGCAACAUGUAUUGAGCUCCAUGCAAGAGACCCUGUUAGACAUCAAAGUUCCUAUGAUAAAUAAAC